RNAcentral lists this ribosomal RNA (434 nucleotides) under uncultured bacterium. RNAcentral's name for it is "partial 16S ribosomal RNA". It matches the Rfam family "Bacterial small subunit ribosomal RNA", at positions 27 to 507 of the family's 1533-position model. The record is from RNAcentral.
GAACGAACGCUGGCGGCAUGCCUAACACAUGCAAGUCGAACGAUCCCUUCGGGGAUAGUGGCGCACGGGUGCGUAACGCGUGGGAACCUGCCCUUAGGUUCGGAAUAACUCAGAGAAAUUUGAGCUAAUACCGGAUAAUGUCUUCGGACCAAAGAUUUAUCGCCUUUGGAUGGGCCCGCGUUGGAUUAGCUAGUUGGUGGGGUAAAGGCCUACCAAGGCGACGAUCCAUAGCUGGUCUGAGAGUAUGAUCAGCCACACUGGGACUGAGACACGGCCCAGACUCCUACGGGAGGCAGCAGUGGGGAAUAUUGGACAAUGGGCGAAAGCCUGAUCCAGCAAUGCCGCGUGAGUGAUGAAGGCCUUAGGGUUGUAAAGCUCUUUUACCCGGGAUGAUAAUGACAGUACCGGGAGAAUAAGCCCCGGCUAACUCCGUG